UGGGUCAUGUACAAAGUUCUGAAGGGGACAUUUUUGUGAGAUCCUAUGAAUUUUCGAGUGAAGACAUCUUUGCUUCAAAUCUUUCCGACAAACUCACAAGAACCAAUUUAUUCUUGCAGGCUUAAACAAACACUACGUAUGAACAAAAUCAAAAGCAAAAAGAACAUUUAUUUAGAAACGGAUGAAUUACAAACAAAAACCUCCAAGCAAAAUCUAGUUCACUCGGAAAGAGAGGUACCAACGCUGUCGAACAGUCCCAAGGGAAACCUUUCUACAGCAAUGCAUAUGAACCACGGCUCAUAAAACAUUCCACAUCACGGUUCAGGGUUUUCUUGCAAUCAUUUGCUCGAUGUUUUGGCCCAUCAACAAGGUCUAUUACAUACGCAAAAGACCUGUGCUUUUCCAGAUUUACUCCCCGUCAACAUUGCUGUCGGUUUAAAAAAUAAAACAUUUGAUGAUACCUUCAUUCCUAUCACAGUUAACAGAGCUUGUCAUCAAGUCCAAGAACUUGGGCAGAAUAAAAGUAUGCUAUACACAACACAACUGUUUGAUUAACGUAUACGCUAAACUAAAACACUUGCAGUCUCUCAAACUUGGGCAAAUCAAAGAGAUGACUACAUCGUAAAUACAAAAGUUGACCAGGUCCGUACCAAUAUAUAGCUGCCUUUAGCGCUUGCACGCAAUCUCAUGAUUGAAUAUACUUACCAUACUAUGACAUGGAAACAUUAGCAAUUGGCUACAUGCUACCGAGGGGGGAGGAGGGGGGGGGGGGGGUUUACGAACG
Molecule: long non-coding RNA, 784 nt
Filed under: Capsicum annuum
Lineage: Eukaryota; Viridiplantae; Streptophyta; Magnoliopsida; Solanales; Solanaceae
Description: long non-coding RNA (CANN_LNC014161)
Source: RNAcentral